AGAAAAAGUUUGCUGACCCUGGAGCUAGAGCUCUGAUAAUUAGAUUGGAUGCCAUGACAUUUUACAAUGCCCUUUAAUUCCACUCCCUUUCCAUCAACCCCCGGAAUACUAGUUAAAACAAAGACCAUUGUAGGCCAGUCCAUUAGCUUUGUGGUCCAGGUACAAACUUUGCAGUUUUAGUGAAACCAUUUGUUAAUUUUUAUUUUUCUAAUAUUUACUUAGCUUGAUAAUAUCAACUCCGUUCUGAUGACUUCGAUAUUAAUAUGAUUAUAUUGGAGAGAAUAUAAUGAGAUCAAAUCGCUUUACCCAUCAAGACCAGGAACUGAAGAACUUCUUCCUCCUUUGCUACCUCAUCUCUUAGCUAGAACUUAGGGCUUCUAUUACUCCUACAAGAAUUCCUUUACCUUAGCUGGAGAGGUAAAAUGAAUUGCUAAACACUUAAAAACCAGCAUGACUGUACCAAGGAAUAAAACAUGUUAACUCUGUUUCAGUACAGAGAAGAAAGCUCAGAACAUAGUAUGCCUUCUGUGAUAAUCCUGAGUGUGAACUUGAGUGGAUGGAAGGAUACAAAGUAUUGAUCCUGGGUGUGUCUGUGAGGGUGUUGCCAAAGAAGAUUAACAUUUGAGUCAGUGUGCAGACCCACUCUUAAUCUGGGUGGGCACAAUCUAAUUAGCUGCCAGCGCUGCUAGAAUAUAAGCAGGCAGAAACAUGUGAAAAGAAAGACUGGCCUAGCCUCCCAGCCUACAUCUUUCUCCCAUGCUGGAUGCUUCCUUCUCUGAAAUAUUGGACUCCAAGUUCUUCAGUUUUGGAACUUGGACUGGCUCUCCUUGCUUCUCAGCCUACAGAUGGCCUAUUGUGGAACGUUGUGAUUACAAAGCCUGCCAACCCUGGCCUAUAUUUUCACAUGAUAACAACUGUGAGGAGCUCAGAAGUCACUGCGCAUGCAGGUGAGGAUAUAUCUAUACCCUCCUUGCCCAGGAUCCCCCUGCCUUCUCCAUUUGAAUAGCUCCUGGCUCCUGCAGAUAUGUGAGUUGUGACCUGCUGGAAGAGUCCUGAAAGGGAGAGUGACAGGAUCAAAUGAAGACUUUCAGUAAGUCACCUGGAAAUAGUGUGUAGGAUUAAUUUAACGAGUCUGGAGGUUGAUGCCUGUUAGUAUCUGCUGUCGAAGUCCUGGCAUGAAUGGAUGAGGACCUAUGUGAUGUGAACUCAGCUGAAGAAUGAAAGACAGGGGAAGUAGAGUUUGAAGAAAGGAUUAAUUGAACCUGAGGAUGGAUUGGAUAUUAAAAAUGAAUGAAAAGAAAAAGUAAUGAUGACUAAAAUUUCUAGACUGGAUAAUUAGGAAAAUGUUAAUUUCUGAUGUAAAAGGGAACUCAGGAAAGAGUCAACCUAGGACAAAAAUCAAAAGACCUACAUAUGGAAAGAAAUAUACUGAUUUGAGUGAACCCAAGCAGAGUUUGAAGACACAGAUUCAAAGGUAUUUGACAACAAAAAAAGGACUUUGAGAUCAAUGCCAGAGAUGGGGACUCAAUUUUGCAUACUGCUUAUAUACUGCCUACGUAAAGGCACUUUAUGAUAAAGAACAUCUCAAAAAAAUAACAUAUAGAACAAGGGGCAAAAAUAGGGGAUAAAAGAGAUGAUUCCCAAUUAUUGGUCAAGUGGUUGGAGUGAGAAUUAAAGGCAAAAUUCCUCUUCUCCCCCUCAAAAUUACACACAACUACACAAACAUAUGUGUUAAUGAUUUUAGUGUGUUGAAUCUGGCUGCUUCCACACUGCAUGCAUCCUACCUUUCUCCAUUCACACCUGAGAUAAUCUCAUUCUAGUGAAGUCUUACAUUAUAAAUGACAACACCAAUAUUUAGGGACGUUCCUCUUUUUUCUUCACUGACUUUGCCUUUCCAAACAAUAUACUUUGUGAAUCCUCUGAGAAAAAAGAAAGUAGUUUGAUCUGCUGGUUUUUAGGACAAUAAUUUUUAAAGGACUUGUUAUUUUUGGUUCAGACACCAUGCAAAACUCAUCUUCAAUCAAGGGCAGGUGCCAGGUACAGCAUCAAGAAAGUAACAGGUGGUUUCUCUUCCUCUCCUUUCCUCUAAAACAUGAAUAAAACAAAAGUUUUAGCAUUUCAGAAAUAAUCUUUUUAAUUAAAAGUGGAAGAUAAAUGUGAUAAAAGUUUUCUUUGAGCUCUUGAAAACAAGUUCAUUCUAUAAGGGUUAGAAAUAGUAUUUUUUAUCUGUCACUAGAGCCAUUGUACUGUGGGGCCUAAUGUUUCAGAUUUUGGAUACUCAUUUCUUUCGAUUGAAGGUGUCAUCAGGUGUUUUCCACCUUUAGUGAUCUCAAGUGGUUCCCCUUCAGUUGCUAAAAUAUACUGUGUCGUUUGAGCAGUCCAAGACCCACAGAGAUCUGCUAUCUAUAUUGGCAGAUAAAUGACAGCAGAUGGAAUUGAGGCUGUGUUCUGUCUCAUCGGCAAGCCUGCAGCCUUAGAAGAAGAGAUGUGCCCCUGAAGCAUUAUGCAGGUUGCUCAUCCAGAAUCAGUGUCACUGUCAUAGUUUGUGAAAGGGAAAUUGGCAAAUCUCUAUACAUAAUAGGCAAAAUGCAACCCUCUCAAUUCUCAAAGGCAUAUUCUCUUCACUCACAUUUUUGUCUUUUUGCUGAAGGGAGGUUUCUGGGCCAAGAUGUUCUGACAGCCUGGUAUUUUCUUUUUUUGCCCAAUGUGUAAGAAGAUAAUUAAUGUUACCAUUAAUGCAUGCAAUGACAUUAGUAUCAAUUCCCUUAGUGAUAUAUAUGCACUAGGAAAUGAACACAAAAGUUAAUUAACAAUUUAUUGAGCAUAUACUAUAUUACAAGUUUACUAUACAAUUGUGCUUUAUUACUAUUGGUGAAAAUAAUGAAAGAUGGCACUUUUCUAUUCUUCACCAUAUACAAGGCACAGUUCCAAGGAUUUAAAAUCUAUCAACUUUAUGAAUCUUUACAACAGGAGGAGCCAAGAUGGCCGAAUAGGAACAGCUCCGGUCUACAGCUCCCAGCCUGAGCGACGCAGAAGACAGGUGAUUUCUGCAUUUCCAUCUGAGGUACUGGGUUCAUCUCACUAGGGAGUGCCAGACAGUAGGCGCAGGUCAGUGGGUGCGCGCACCGUGCACAAGCCGAAGCAGGGCGAGGCAUUGCCUCACUCGGGAAGUGCAAGGGGUCAGGGAGUUCCCUUUCCUAAUCAAAGAAAGGGGUGACGGAUGGCACCUGGAGAAUCGGGUCACUCCCACCCGAAUACUGCGCUUUUCCGACGGGCUUAAAAAACAGCACACCACGAGAUUAUAUCCCGCACCUGGCUGGGAGGGUCCUACCCCACGGAGUCUCGCUGAUUGCUAGCACAGCAGUCUGAGAUCAAACUGCAAGGCAGCGGCGAGGCUGGGGGAGGGGCGCCCACCAUUGUCCAGGCUUGCUUAGGUAAACAAAGCAGCCGGGAAGCUCCAACUGGGUGGAGCCCACCACAGCUCAAGGAGGCCUGCGUGCUUCUGUAGGCUCCAACUCUGGGGGCAGGGCAGGGCACAGACAAACAAAAAGACAGCAGUAACCUCUGCAGACUUAAAUGUCCCUGUCUGACAGCUUUCAAGAGAGCAGUGGUUCUCCCAGCACGCAGCUGGAGAUCUGAGAACUGGCAGACUGCCUCCUCAAGUGGGUCUCUGACCCCUGACCCCCGAGCAGCCUAACUGGGAGGCUCCAGCAGGGGCAGGCUGACACCUCACACUGCAGGGUACUCCAACAGACCUGCAGCUGAGGGUCCUGUCUGUUAGAAGGAAAACUAACAAACAGAAAGGACAUCCACACCAAAAACCCAUCUGUACAUCACCAUCAUCAAAGACCAAAAGUAGAUAAAACCACAAAGAUGGGGAAAAAACAGAACAGAAAAACUGGAAACUCUAAAAAUCAGAGCGCCUCUCCUCCUCUAAAGGAACGCAGCUCCUCACCAGCAACAGAACAAAGCUGGAUGGAGAAUGACUUUGACGAGCUGAGAGAAGAAGGCUUCAGACGAUCAAAUUACUCUGAGCUACGGGAGGACAUUCAAACCAAAGGCAAAGAAGUUGAAAACUUUAAAAAAAAUUUAGAAGAAUGUAUAACUAGAAUAACCAAUACAGAGAAGUGCUUAAAGGAGCUGAUGGAGCUGAAAACCAAGGCUCAAGAACUACCUGAAGAAUGCAGAAGCCUCAGGAGCUGAUGCGAUCAACUGGAAGAAAGGGUAUCAGCAAUGGAAGAUGAAAUGAAUGAAAUGAAGUGAGAAGGAAAGUUUAGAGAAAAAAGAAUAAAAAGAAACGAGCAAAGCCUCCAAGAAAUAUGGGACUAUGUGAAUAGACCAAGUCUACGUCUGACUGGUGUACCUGAAAGUGAUGGGGAGAAUGGAACCAAGUUGGAAAACACUCUGCAGGAUAUUAUCCAGGAGAAUUUCCCCAAUCUAGCAAGGCAGGCCAACGUUCAGAUUCAGGAAAUACACAGAACGCCACAAAGAUACUCCUCGAGAAGAGCAACUCCAAGACACAUAAUUGUCAGAUUCACCAAAGUUGAAAUGAAG
This 4554-nucleotide long non-coding RNA is filed under the name Homo sapiens (human). RNAcentral describes it as "HSALNT0088366". Lineage: Eukaryota; Metazoa; Chordata; Mammalia; Primates; Hominidae. The record is from RNAcentral.